Molecule: non-coding RNA, 96 nt
Filed under: Granulicatella adiacens
Lineage: Bacteria; Bacillati; Bacillota; Bacilli; Lactobacillales; Carnobacteriaceae
Also listed under: 1 other name
Description: TPP sequence
Rfam family: TPP riboswitch aptamer (THI element)
About the family: Vitamin B(1) in its active form thiamin pyrophosphate (TPP) is an essential coenzyme that is synthesised by coupling of pyrimidine and thiazole moieties in bacteria. The previously detected thiamin-regulatory element, thi box was extended, resulting in a new, highly conserved RNA secondary structure, the THI element, which is widely distributed in eubacteria and also occurs in some archaea. Analysis of operon structures identified a large number of new candidate thiamin-regulated genes, mostly transporters, in various prokaryotic organisms.
Source: RNAcentral
GAAAAUGCAAAGGGGUGCCUCUAUGGCUGAGAUGUAUGUACAAACCCUUGAACCUGUUACGUUAAUGCGUGCGUAGGAAUUGUAUUCGAUUUCGAA